GUGAGGAAUAUUGCGCAAUGGAGGCAACUCUGACGCAGCCAUGCCGCGUGCAGGAAGAAGGCGCUACGCGUUGUAAACUGCUUUUAACCGGGAAGAAACCCCAGGACGUGUCCUGGGUUGACGGUACCGGAGGAAUAAGCACCGGCUAACUUCGUGCCAGCAGCCGCGGUAAUACGAAGGGUGCAAGCGUUAUCCGGAUUCAUUGGGUUUAAAGGGUGCGUAGGCGGAGCGUUAAGUCAGUGGUGAAAUCCUGCAGCUUAACUGUAGACUUGCCAUUGAUACUGGCGCUCUUGAGUGCGCUUGAAGUGGGCGGAAUGUGCCGUGUAGCGGUGAAAUGCUUAGAUAUGGCACAGAACACCAAUUGCGAAGGCAGCUCACUAAGGCGAUACUGACGCUGAGGCACGAAAGCGUGGGGAUCAAACAGGAUUAGAAACCCGAGUAGUCC
Molecule: ribosomal RNA, 445 nt
Filed under: uncultured bacterium
Lineage: Bacteria
Description: partial 16S ribosomal RNA
Rfam family: Bacterial small subunit ribosomal RNA
Source: RNAcentral